This 483-nucleotide long non-coding RNA is filed under the name Anser brachyrhynchus (Pink-footed goose). RNAcentral describes it as "lncRNA (ENSABRG00000014395.1)". Lineage: Eukaryota; Metazoa; Chordata; Aves; Anseriformes; Anatidae. The record is from RNAcentral.
UAAGUAGUACUUUAUUAAGUAGCGGUAUAAGUACAAUAUAACAAUCAUAUCUUCAGAAGUUUAUAGCAACACAGUUGGUUAAAACUUAUCCUGCUAUACAGAGUAUAACAGUGAAUGCAACCAUUUGUUUGAUGAAUGUAUCGCUUUUUUAAAAAAUAAAGAUAUUAUAAACUUUACAGAACAAUCUUGCAAAUUUGUAAGAUGACCCAUCUUACCUGGACAUCUGAUGGCUAAUUUUAAGUCUUUUAUCAAGUCAUAAUACCAUAUCUAUGAUUUCUGCAGCUACACUGAUGAUCCCGGGUCUGCAUAGGUCACACAUCCAGCUAUGAAGCUAGAAAGAAAUAAUGAAAAGGAUCGAGAAUCCAGCCCAAUGUAAUCUACUAAUGAGAAAUGGCUGCUAUCAGAAGCACUAAGCAUAAUCUAUGUGAAGGAAGACUAGGUCCUGGGACUGUCUGUCUAGACAAUAUUAUCAAGGCCUUGAAG